This 448-nucleotide ribosomal RNA is filed under the name uncultured prokaryote. RNAcentral's name for it is "bacterial SSU rRNA". It matches the Rfam family "Bacterial small subunit ribosomal RNA", at positions 355 to 796 of the family's 1533-position model. The record is from RNAcentral.
CCGGGAAUCUUGCGCAAUGGGCGAAAGCCUGACGCAGCAACGCCGCGUGAGUGAUGAAGGUCUUCGGAUCGUAAAGCUCUGUUGUUGGGGACGAAGGGCGAAGGGUUAAUAGCCUCUAGCCUGACGGUACCCUUCGAGGAAGCCCCGGCCAACUACGUGCCAGCAGCCGCGGUAAUACGAAGGGGGCAAGCGUUGUCCGGAAUCAUUGGGCGUAAAGGGCGCGUAGGCGGCCUGGUAAGUCUGCUGUGAAAUCCUGGGGCUCAACCCCAGGCUUGCAGUGGAAACUGCCCGGCUAGAGGAUGGUAGAGGCGAGUGGAAUUCCCGGUGUAGCGGUGAAAUGCGCAGAUAUCGGGAGGAACACCAGUAGCGAAGGCGGCUCGCUGGGCCAUUCCUGACGCUGAGGCGCGAAAGCGAGGGGAGCGAACAGGAUUAGAUACCCCUGUAGUCC